CCUGAGAAACCCAAAAGAUCGAAUGGGGAGAUUCAUCGUCAGCUCAUUUUGUAUAUAUAUAAGUUAUGAUAUGGGUUACUACUUGUAGUAUUGCUUGUACAUUCUUGUAUAUUUAAUUGCAAGAUGUUGUCGGCGUGCACUUCUCCCCUAGUAGGACGUCGCGACCCGUUGAGUGUUGGUUUACGGCCCAAGUGGUAGUCUUUAAUUCGAUUGAAUUAAAGACCCUUGGUGUUUCCUAACUAACUACUCGGCGGUAUUCGUACGGUAUUAAGCCGCAUUUAUGCGUUCAUAAUCGUCGCAAGCGCGGUCAAUUUUUGGUAGUACGGACCUAGUGCCGUCGCUAUAAUUGAUCAGCUGUUGGUUGUACGGUAUUCUAGAACUGGCUUUUUAUAUAUACCGGUCAGCGAUGCUACUGCUUUGGGU
Molecule: ribosomal RNA, 423 nt
Filed under: Biosteres carbonarius
Lineage: Eukaryota; Metazoa; Arthropoda; Insecta; Hymenoptera; Braconidae
Description: eukaryotic LSU rRNA
Source: RNAcentral